Molecule: ribosomal RNA, 448 nt
Filed under: uncultured bacterium
Lineage: Bacteria
Description: bacterial SSU rRNA
Rfam family: Bacterial small subunit ribosomal RNA
Source: RNAcentral
AUUGAACGCUGGCGGUAGGCUUAACACAUGCAAGUCGUGCGAGAAAGUAUCUUCGGAUAUGAGUAGAGCGGCGGACGGGUGAGUAACGCGUGAGAAUCUGCCCUCAGGAGGGGGACAACGGUUGGAAACGACCGCUAAUACCCCAUAUGCCGCGAGGUGAAAUGAAUUUCGCCUGAGGAUGAGCUCGCGUCUGAUUAGCUAGUUGGUGUAGGUAAUGGCUCACCAAGGCAUCGAUCAGUAGCUGGUCUGAGAGGAUGAUCAGCCACACUGGGACUGAGACACGGCCCAGACUCCUACGGGAGGCAGCAGUGGGGAAUUUUCCGCAAUGGGCGAAAGCCUGACGGAGCAACGCCGCGUGAGGGAUGAAGGCCUCUGGGCUGUAAACCUCUUUUAUCAAGGAAGAAGAUCUGACGGUACUUGAUAAGUAAGCCACGGCUAAUUCCGUGAA